RNAcentral lists this ribosomal RNA (67 nucleotides) under Bacillota bacterium. RNAcentral's name for it is "Firmicutes bacterium partial 16S ribosomal RNA". It matches the Rfam family "Bacterial small subunit ribosomal RNA", at positions 1 to 65 of the family's 1533-position model. Lineage: Bacteria; Bacillati; Bacillota. The record is from RNAcentral.
UUAAACUCAAGAGUUUGAUUCUGGCUCAGGACGAACGCUGGCGGUGUGCUUAAUACAUGCAAGUCGA